Molecule: ribosomal RNA, 445 nt
Filed under: uncultured bacterium
Lineage: Bacteria
Description: partial 16S ribosomal RNA
Rfam family: Bacterial small subunit ribosomal RNA
Source: RNAcentral
GUGAAGAAUAUUGCGCAAUGGAGGCAACUCUGACGCAGCCAUGCCGCGUGCAGGAAGAAGGCGCUACGCGUUGUAAACUGCUUUUAACCGGGAAGAAACCCCAGGACGUGUCCUGGGUUGACGGUACCGGAGGAAUAAGCACCGGCUAACUUCGUGCCAGCAGCCGCGGUAAUACGAAGGGUGCAAGCGUUAUCCGGAUUCAUUGGGUUUAAAGGGUGCGUAGGCGGAGCGUUAAGUCAGUGGUGAAAUCCUGCAGCUUAACUGUAGACUUGCCAUUGAUACUGGCGCUCUUGAGUGCGCUUGAAGUGGGCGGAAUGUGCCGUGUAGCGGUGAAAUGCUUAGAUAUGGCACAGAACACCAAUUGCGAAGGCAGCUCACUAAGGCGAUACUGACGCUGAGGCACGAAAGCGUGGGGAUCGAACAGGAUUAGAAACCCCGGUAGUCC